This 1084-nucleotide ribosomal RNA is filed under the name uncultured Chloroflexota bacterium. RNAcentral's name for it is "bacterial SSU rRNA". It matches the Rfam family "Bacterial small subunit ribosomal RNA", at positions 66 to 1187 of the family's 1533-position model. The record is from RNAcentral. Lineage: Bacteria; Bacillati; Chloroflexota.
AGGAACCUUCGAUUGAGGGUUAGUGGCGAACGGGUGAGUAAUACAUGGGUGACCUGCCCUGAAGAGGGGGAUAACCACUGGAAACGGUGGCUAAUACCUCAUGUGAUCGCGAGGGUUAGAGGCCUGGCGAUUAAAGCUCCGGUGCUUCGGGAGGGGCCCAUGGCCUAUCAGCUAGUUGGUAGGGUAACGGCCUACCAAGGCGAUGACGGGUAGCUGGUCUGAGAGGACGAUCAGCCGCACUGGCACUGAGACACGGGCCAGACUCCUACGGGAGGCAGCAGUGAGGAAUAUUGGGCAAUGGGCGAAAGCUUGACCCAGCAACGCCGCGUGAGCGAAGAAGGCCUUCGGGUUGUAAAGCUCUUUUCUGGGAGACGAGGAAGGACGGUAUCCCAGGAAUAAGCCUCGGCUAACUACGCGCCAGCAGCCGCGGUAAAACGUAGGAGACAAGCGUUAUCCGGAUUUAUUGGGCGUAAAGCGCGUGCAGGCGGUUUGGUAAGUUGGGUGUGAAAUCUCUUGGCUCAACUGGGAGGCGUCAUUCAAUACUGCCAGACUUGAGGACGGAAGAGGGGAGUGGAAUUUCCGGUGUAGUGGUGAAAUGCGUAGAUAUCGGAAGGAACACCAGUGGCGAAGGCGGCUCCCUAGUCCGUGCCUGACGCUGAGACGCGAAAGCUAGGGGAGCGAAUGGGAUUAGAGACCCCAGUAGUCCUAGCUGUAAACGGUGGAUACUAGGUGUAGGGAGUAUUGACCCUCUCUGUGCCGAAGCUAACGCGUUAAGUAUCCCGCCUGAGGACUACGGCCGCAAGGCUAAAACUCAAAGGAAUUGACGGGGCCCUGCACAAACAGCGGAGCGUGUGGUUUAAUUCGAUGCGACACGAAGAACCUUACCAGGGUUUGACAUGCAGGUAGUAGUGAAGCGAAAGCGGAACGAUCCUUCGGGAAGCCUGCACAGGUGCUGCAUGGCUGUCGUCAGCUCGUGCCGUGAGGUGUUAGGUUAAGUCCUGUAACGAGCGCAACCCUUGCCGUUAGUUACACGUGUCUUAACGGGACUGCCGGUGCAAACCGGAGGAAGGUGGGGAUGGUGUCA